Molecule: ribosomal RNA, 490 nt
Filed under: uncultured bacterium
Lineage: Bacteria
Description: partial 16S ribosomal RNA
Rfam family: Bacterial small subunit ribosomal RNA
Source: RNAcentral
AUUGAACGCUGGCGGCAGGCCUAACACAUGCAAGUCGAAUGGUAACAGGAAACAGCUUGCUGUUUCGCUGACGAGUGGCGGACGGGUGAGUAAUGUCUGGGAAACUGCCUGAUGGAGGGGGAUAACUACUGGAAACGGUAGCUAACACCGCAUAACGUAGCAAGACCAAAGAGGGGGACCUUCGGGCCUCUUGCCAUCAGAUGUGCCCAGAUGGGAUUAGCUAGUAGGUGGGGUAACGGCGCACCUAGGCGACGAUCCCUAGCUGGUCUGAGAGGAUGACCAGCCACACUGGAACUGAGACACGGUCCAGACUCCUACGGGAGGCAGCAGUGGGGAAUAUUGCACAAUGGGCGCAAGCCUGAUGCAGCCAUGCCGCGUGUAUGAAGAAGGCCUUCGGGUUGUAAAGUACUUUCGGCGGGGAGGAAGGGAGUAAAGUUAAUACCUUUGCUCAUUGACGUUACCCGCAGAAGAAGCACCGGCUAACUCCGUG